AUAUAAUCCUCUCCAGGGGCAGGAUGAUGCCACAGACUGUAGAGCCUGCCCAGCAGGUAGAGUUUGUACCCAGGCUGGCUUGACCCAGCCAGACUCAGAGUGCAUGGCUGGGAACAGGAGGGAAGCAGAAGCCCCCUGUCCCAUGUCCAGUUGGUCACUACUGCCCCCCAGGCACAAAAUAUCCAGCUCAAUACAAGUGUGCCCCAGGUACCUGGAGCAAUAGGACAAGCCUGGCAUCAGAGGAGGAAUGUUUGCCCUGUCCUGCAGGCUGGUUUUGUGUGGCAGGAGCUCAUGUGCCUUCAGGGAGAUGCAGCCCUGGACAUUACUGCCCUGAUGGUACACGGACAAGCACCCAGUUCCCCUGUCCUGCUGGAACCUACAGUACCAGGCUGGGAAAUGGCCGAGUGGAAGACUGCCCCGCCUGCCCCAUGGGAUCCUACUGCACAGAUGGGACCUCCAAGCCAACUCUAUGCCCAGUAGGAACUUACCGCAAGGAGCAAGGAGGAAAGGUGGCUGAAGACUGCAUCCCCUGCCCUGGAGGAUACCACUGCCCUGAGCUUGGCACUGUG
Molecule: long non-coding RNA, 569 nt
Filed under: Gopherus agassizii (Agassiz's desert tortoise)
Lineage: Eukaryota; Metazoa; Chordata; Testudines; Testudinidae
Description: lncRNA (ENSGAGG00000017180.1)
Source: RNAcentral